RNAcentral lists this non-coding RNA (29 nucleotides) under Rattus norvegicus (Norway rat). The record is from RNAcentral. Lineage: Eukaryota; Metazoa; Chordata; Mammalia; Rodentia; Muridae.
UCCUAAGGAUUCUUGGCUGGAACACAAAG